GUUCGCGCGUGUUGCGGUUGAAUGCAGCAGCAGCAGUCUGCAGGGAGACGACGGUGCCUGCACGCCUUGUUACUACCUCCGACGGAAUGAGCGUGAGACAGGCAGCAGACAGACCACUGGAGCCACAAGUCAAAGCGGCUCGCCUCGGGUGCAAUCGUCCAAGAAAUCACAAAGGGGGUGUGGGAGGAAAUCUCGUUACAUGAACAAAGUUUCGCUUUGUGAACAAAUCACCCGGAAUGCACCCCCGGAUCUCGGCAUAUCUCAGAAGCCAAGCAAGAUUGUGCCACGGGUGACCACCAUUGCAUUAACAAAAAAAGCAGGCGCUGUCGGGCAGCUGCGGGGCUACGGUUGUCAGCAGAAGGCACCGCAGGAGAAAACCCACAGUUGUGCUGUACUACGCGCGAAUGUCUAUGCUCCACGCCUUCGCCGACGUGUGUCGAUCAGCGCGGUGAAGUGUGGUCGAACAGCCCUCGUGACCCGCGCGGAGUGAGAAGGCCUCGUCCAGAAGUGGCUUGACCAGUGGUUCUUCUUCACAUGGGGUGCACGCUGCACGCCCUUGGGGUGCGAGAUGCCCUUUCUGGCGGCGCGAGACGUGGCCAGAUCUUUUUCGAAGGUAAAUCAUCGAAAACACAAAUUAAGCACGGGGCACGUGAGUUACAACUUCUUUGUCUCAUCAAACCCCCGAUGUAUUUAUUAACUUUGUACAUUUAAUGUUCACGAUUAAGAACCAAAGGGGCACGAGGUGAAGAAACACUGGGGGCUUGACAAAGGGGGCCGUGCACAUACGCAGUUUGGAGAGAAAGAAAGUGAGAAAUUCACCCUAAAUCAAGUUUAGAAGGAAUUAAAAAAAAUACUAUUUCGCAAAGCCGUAAUGUAAAGACUUGCUCCAGUCUGUGAACAAUUAGUUAACAAUUACCUUAAUCAUAUUGAGCAAUACACGCAAAGCACACGGUGAUUUUUGAUGGGGUUAAUUGCCACCUGUUGAGGCUCUUAAAUAACCUUAAAGCACCACACACUGAUUUACCGUCCACCAUUAAUGGAACCAUGUGUUUGUGAGCGGAGGGUGGGUGAGUGUACAUUUGGAAGUGAAUCAUGUUUUGCAUGAAUAUUUCAGUACCCACAGCAUUAGGCUUCAACUAUACGCGCUAAGCAUGUUUAUACAAGGCACUGAAAGCCUGUGACCACAUGUUAGAACAGAACAGUGCACUUGGAUUUGAUGCACGAAUGCCAAUAACUUGCCCACAAAUCUAUCAUUUCCAUACAAGAAUGUAUUGUGGAUUUUCAAAUGCAGCGCGUGCAAAAGUCAUGGGGAGCAUCAGCCGAGGGGGAAAAGGCACUGACGUUAAAAUGCUACGGGAUGGGGGUGUGCUAAUAAUAUUGGAACAUUUAUAUUGUUUUUUUUUUAUACAAUACAAACUGCUAUUUCAACGUUGCAUGGCACAUUUAUUUUGUGGAGGGCAUUGUGUGGGUUUUCAUAAAUAAUGUCAUUAAAUUGUGUUUGAGUGCUUUGUUGAUGACAUUGCUAUUGUUUUUAUUAUUAUAUUGUUAUUAUUAUUAUAUAACCUCCAUGCUAUAACAUCCAGAAUGUUUGAAGCAUGAUUCAGAACGUAAAUAAUAUCACCGGAUGCACACUGACAAAAUUAUGAAUAAUUAAUAUGUAUUUUUUUAAAGUCAGAAUACGUAUCGCUUUUCCAUUUGUUGACAAAAAUGGUAAAGGUACAGCCCUGCAAUCACCUCCUCACAUGACUGCUCACAGAGGAUCCUACGCUACAGUGGGUUAUGGAGCCCCAAGAGACGGCUAUUUGGCCUUCUCUUGCACACUUGAUGUACGUAUGUUUUUUGUACGUUGAACUUCUUUUGCGCUGUACAUAGCCAACCGCUCUAAUCGGAGGUGUGGAGGGAGGGGGGGGG
This is a long non-coding RNA of Petromyzon marinus (sea lamprey), 1911 nucleotides long. RefSeq lists it as uncharacterized. The record is from RefSeq and is a predicted model, not a curated record. NCBI's taxonomy places the organism in Eukaryota, Metazoa, Chordata, Hyperoartia, Petromyzontiformes, Petromyzontidae.